AAGGAGCAGUGCCAACUUUAGCAAACUGCCACUAUCAUUCCUUUGUUUGAGUAAUAACCCAGAAGUGACAUUAUCUUCCAUCAAACUGUUUUCCUAUCUCCAGAAGCAAUCAAAUAGGAGAUUAUAAGAAGCACAACUUCUCAGGUGGGCCCUUCUUAUCAUUUUCUAUCUUGGCUGUCAGUUACCAUUCUCAGAAUGUCAAGACACAGAAGCUAACUGGAAUUACCCUGACAAACCUUCAAACCAGACUUUGGAAGACGGUUCUCUUACCAAGGAAAGGCCAACAAGAUAAAGGAUGAAACUACUGUACCUGACUUUGGGCCUCCUGGCUCUCGUCACAUAUUUCCCGUUAAGUAGGACACAGCAGAGACAGACUGGGUCACUUGAUCAGAAAAGGACUGAUCAGUCAGGCUAUGUUCAAAAGUCUAACCGAAUGCAAUCACAGCAAAAUUCACCUCCUCGACAGAGGAUAGAAGCAGCAAGAUCUCCUUCAAGUGCAAGCACUUCAAAAAGCAAACCUGCAAGGCAAAGCAAACGUGUUGCACGAAAACCCCAAACCAAAACAGAUGCAAAAGGGGGGUCUGUUCUACAAAAAUCUCCCAGAAAAACAGCAGCACAAGGGAGAGCUCUUCAACAAAAUCCUCAGACCAAAGCAGCCCCCAGAAAGACACCCGUUUCUCGAAAGCUUCGACCCAAAGCAGCCCCCAGAAAGAAGGCCGUUUCACCAAAUCCUCAGACCACAACAUCCUCUGGAAGGAGGGCUGUUUCACGAAACCCUCAGCCUAAAACAGCAGCCAGAAAAAAGGUAGUUUCAUCAGAUCCUCAGACCACAACAGUCUCUAGAGGGAAGACAGUUUCACGAAACUCUCGGAGCAAAAUAGUCACCAGAAAGAAGCCCGUUUCUCGAAAGCCUCGACCCAAAACAGCCAUCAGAAAGAAGCGCCUUUCACCAAAUUCUCAGAUCACAACAGUCACCAAAAAGAAGUCAGUUUCACCAAAUCCUCAGACCACAACAGUCACCAAAAAGAAGCCAGUUNNNNNNNNNNCCGUUUCUCGAAAGCCUCAGCGCAAAAGAGUCACCAGAAGGAAGCCCAUUUCACGAAAGCCUCAGCCCACAACAGUCACCAAAAAGAAGCCUGUUUCACGAAAACCUCGGCCUACAACAGCCCCAUGCACAAAACAUCCGGUACCUUCUCACAAAAAAACUCUAUCUACAACUGGAGCACAAAAAACCCCUCUCCCAAAGAAACCAUCACCCCCCAGAAAAGGUCCCAAACGCAGACCUCAUCCACCUCGACCUAAGCCACAGAGACCGGGCCAACAUAAUUGCCGUCCAAAACCAAAUGUUCCCCACAGACCUAAACCAACAAUCUCGAAACCAACAACCAAACCUUACACCGCUACCACCAAACAAACCACUACAACUACCCAGGAACCCACAACCACCAAUUCUAACAUUAAUAUUAAACCUACUACCACCACUGCCACCAAAUCUACUACCCCAUCUACUACCACCAGUCUAUCUUCUACCCCUACCACAAGAGUUUCAUCCACUCCAUCUGGCAGCACUACCACCCUGACUGACAUUAGCCCGGCACCAGUUGUUGUCACAUCUACUGCCUCAACCACAAGAUCUGCUCACACCACACCCAUUGCCACAACUACCACCUCUGCUGCCUUGAACACAACUGAAGGCACCACAUCUCCUGCCACUACCACAACUGUGGCAACUUCUCCUUCUGCCACCUCUACCACCACCCCUCUAUCAACCACCUCUGUCACUAGUACCACAGCUAUUACCUCUACCACCACCCCUCUAUCAACCACCUCUGUCACUAGUACCACAGCUAUUACUUCUACCACUAUUGCCACUGCAUCCACACCUGUUGUCUCUAACACAACAGUGGCACGCACCCAAUUUGCUGCCAUUAGCACAAACCCUGAUACAACGUCUGCUACGGUUACGACCACAUUGGCUGCCCUCACAUCUGCCCCUACCACACAAGCUGCCACUACCUCUUCUGCCACCUCGACCACAACACCUGCUGCAGCUACCACUGCUGCCCCCAGCACUACCUCUGCUGCCUCCUCUACCACACCUGCUAGCACAACAUCUGUGGCCACCACUGCCCAACCUACAGCCACAUCUGUUCUCUCAUCUGCUCCUCCCACCACAAUCACCACCAGCCUGAUCUCCACUGACACAACUGCUUCUGUUAGCACCACACCUGAUGAGACAUCUGUCCCCUCAGUCACACCUGAGGAUACAACCAUUGCUGAUACUUUCCCCCCUGACACAACUAUGGUGGUGGAUGAUUCCACCACCCCCGAUGACAACACUGAUGCUACCACUCUGACUGACACCUCUUUCCCUACUGAGGCCACCACCCCCGAGGUCAGCACUUCUAUCCCAACUACUACAGUUACAUCCGCUGAACCUACAACCUUCACAUCUGCUACCGCUGCCAUUGCUACCUCUGGAGCCACUUCUACUGCCACCACCCCUCUAUCAACCUCCUCUGUCACUAGUACCACAACUGUUACUUCCACCACUACUGUCACUGGGUCCACAUCUACUUUACCUACAUCUGUCCCUACCACACAAGAUGCCACUACCACGUCUGCCUCUUCAACCACUACACCUACUUUCACUAACACUACUCCUACUGUAACCACCUCUGCUACCACGAGUACCACCAAUUCUGCAACUACCAUAUUUCCUUCCCCUACUACAGAACCUGUAAGUACCACAUCUACCCUCAGCACAUCUGCCCCAACUACAUCUGUAACCACUAGCACAUCUGCUAGCACAUCUGUCAUUAGUACAACUGCCCUUACCACACCUAGAGCCACUGAUUCUCUAUCCUCUCCAGCAACAACUUUUGCCCCUACAUCUUCUGCUGUUGUCACCCUUGAUACCUCUACUUUUGAUGACAUCUCAUCCACUGACCCUAUCACCCCCACUGACAUAACCACUGAUGCACUGGCCACUACUGAUGAAGUGACCACUGAUCCUGACACAAGCACAUCCGAUGAAACAGCCACGACUGAAGAACCGGUCACAUUUGAUGAAACCACCAUAGCCACUACUUAGGGAAGCCAUCAGCACCGAGGAAUAUGAAACCGCCUUUCUGGGGAAAUGAGCACUGAUUCAACUGUCAUCACAACUGAUUUCACCACAUCUAAUCCGAAUUAGUACGGGGCUGCCCAUAACCAUAAGGCAGGAUGAAAGAGGGUCUUGGUGAGGAGAUAAAAAUAAAGCCUAAUGCAACUUGAAUUCA
This is a long non-coding RNA of Vombatus ursinus (common wombat), 3281 nucleotides long. The record is from Ensembl. Lineage: Eukaryota; Metazoa; Chordata; Mammalia; Diprotodontia; Vombatidae.